UUGUUGUUGUUGUUGUUGUUGUUGUUGUUGUUGUUGUUGUUGUUGUUGUUGUUGUUGUUGUUGUUGUUGUUGUUGUUGUUGUUGUUGUUGUUGUUGUUGUUGUUGUUGUUGUUGUUGUUGUUGUUGUUGUUGCCCAUCAUCAAUGGGCUCAUUAUGUCGAUCACUGAAGAUUUGGAAGGAUCGGAGAGCGUGGAUUCCCUAACGAGGACGAAAGUAGGAUGAC
Molecule: long non-coding RNA, 223 nt
Filed under: Helianthus annuus (common sunflower)
Lineage: Eukaryota; Viridiplantae; Streptophyta; Magnoliopsida; Asterales; Asteraceae
Description: sRNA HanXRQr2_Chr03g0109771
Source: RNAcentral